Long non-coding RNA from Magallana angulata, 1160 nucleotides. RefSeq lists it as uncharacterized. The transcript has 3 exons. The record is from RefSeq and is a predicted model, not a curated record. Lineage: Eukaryota; Metazoa; Mollusca; Bivalvia; Ostreida; Ostreidae.
CUGAACAGCAAUCCUCGAUUUUGUCAAUAAUCUAAAACGUGCUAAGGAGUAGUCAUUCGUCGGUUUACCUGCGGCUUCCAGAUGAUCUGAAGAUCAGGAAUAUAGAAAAUAUUGUCAAUUUGAUAUUGCUAAUGACCCAGUCAAGUCUGCUGAAGCCCAGAAGUUUCCAGACCAUGACAUUAAUGAAUAUUCCUUGAAUGGAAUGCAUGAGGAUUAGAAUGGAACCUUAUUCUGCCUUUUUACCAACUCACACCAUCUUUUCAAGAUUUAUGGAGCCAACCACAGAAGAAUUUGUUCUAUACACAUCAUUCAUAACAUUCUUAUUUAUGUGGCAUAACUUUAAAUGUUACUGGAUGAAUUGUGUUCACAUAAUGAAUACCAGCAAACGUUUUAUCGAGUGCACUUAAUUCGUAUUUUUCCUACCCAUCCAUCUAACAUAUGUUUUUAUAUUACAUAUUCAUAUACAUGUUACAUAACAUUUUUGGAAAAAGCUAUUUUUUUAAAAUUGGAAUUUAGCCUUACUAUUUUAUACAAGUUUUUUUUUAAAGGGACUUGGACACGAUUUUAGAUCAAAAUUUUGUUUUCAAUUUCUUUAUGCAUAAAUUGAUUUACUUGCACAUUUUGAAUGAUUGACCACAAUUUGAAUGUUAGAAGUCAAGUUAUAAGAUAGAUACAGGGGUAAGAAUUUAUUGUUAUGUAAACAAAGCUCGAGUCUUAUGUUUGUUAACAAAUAAUAUAAAGUAUGAAAUUACCAUACUGAUUCGAUGUGAUCAUAAAUGAUAUUAAUGAUAUUAUUAAUAGAAAAAAGCAACAUUUGAAUGAAACUUACACCAAUAAAACACAUAUGUAAAUAAUAACAAGACUCGCGCUUUGUUUACAAAACAAAGAAUAUUUAAUUAUCUUUCUUUUAACUCAGUAUUUGACUUUCAAAAUUAGUAUUAUGAUUUUUUUAGAAUGAUAUAUGCAAUUUCAUUAAUUUAUUUUUCAUUUUAAGAAAAUUCAUUUAAAAAAAAAUAUCUUACAACCUGUGUAUUUUUUUUUCAGUUUACAUAACACAGUGUAUUAAUUGAAUGUAGUUGUGUAGAUUUAUACAUGUACCUACAAGCAAUAUACAUUUAAUAUUCACCAGGUACAUGUACCAGCCUACUAUAUUUGAUAAA